GGAGGGGGAUAACAGCUGGAAACGGCUGCUAAUCUUUCAUAUGCCGCGAGGUGAAAUGAAUUUCGCCUGAGGAUGAGCUCGCGUCUGAUUAGCUAGUUGGUGUGGGUAAUGGCUCACCAAGGCAUCGAUCAGUAGCUGGUCUGAGAGGAUGAUCAGCCACACUGGGACUGAGACACGGCCCACACUCCUACGGGAGGCAGCAGUGGGGAAUUUUCCGCAAUGGGCGAAAGCCUGACGGAGCAACGCCGCGUGAGGGAUGAAGGCCUCUGGGCUGUAAACCUCUUUUAUCAAGGAAGAAGAUCUGACGGUACUUGAUGAAUAAGCCACGGCUAAUUCCGUGCCAGCAGCCGCGGUAAUACGGGAGUGGCAAGCGUUAUCCGGAAUUAUUGGGCGUAAAGCGUCCGCAGGCGGCCCUUCAAGUCUGCUGUUAAAAAGUGGAGCUUAACUCCAUCAUGGCAGUGGAAACUGAGGGGCUUGAGUGUGGUAGGGGCAGAGGGAAUUCCCGGUGUAGCGGUGAAAUGCGUAGAUAUCGGGAAGAACACCAGUGGCGAAGGCGCUCUGCUGGGCCAUCACUGACGCUCAUGGACGAAAGCCAGGGGAGCGAAAGGGAUUAGAUACCCCUGUAGUCCUGGCCGUAAACGAUGAACACUAGGUGUCGGGGGAAUCGACCCCCUCGGUGUCGCAGCCAACGCGUUAAGUGUUCCGCCUGGGGAGUACGCACGCAAGUGUGAAACUCAAAGGAAUUGACGGGGGCCCGCACAAGCGGUGGAGUAUGUGGUUUAAUUCGAUGCAACGCGAAGAACCUUACCAGGGUUUGACAUCCUGCGAAUCUCUUGGAAACGAGAGAGUGCCUUCGGGAGCGCAGUGACAGGUGGUGCAUGGCUGUCGUCAGCUCGUGUCGUGAGAUGUUGGGUUAAGUCCCGCAACGAGCGCAACCCACGUCUUUAGUUGCCAGCAUUUAGUUGGGCACUCUAGAGAGACCGCCGGUGAUAAACCGGAAGGAAGGUGUGGAUGACGUCAAGUCAUCAUGCCCCUUACAUCCUGGGCUACCCACGUACUACAAUG
RNAcentral lists this ribosomal RNA (1065 nucleotides) under uncultured bacterium. RNAcentral's name for it is "bacterial SSU rRNA". It matches the Rfam family "Bacterial small subunit ribosomal RNA", at positions 135 to 1232 of the family's 1533-position model. The record is from RNAcentral.